UGCCUACGGGACGCAGCAGUGGGGAAUAUUGCACAAUGGGGGAAACCCUGAUGCAGCAACGCCGCGUGAGUGAAGAAGUAUUUCGGUAUGUAAAGCUCUAUCAGCAGGGAAGAAGAAAGACGGUACCUGACUAAGAAGCCCCGGCUAACUACGUGCCAGCAGCCGCGGCAAUACGUAGGGGGCAAGCGUUAUCCGGAUUUACUGGUGUAAAGGGAGCGUAGACGGUAUAGCAAGUCUGAAGUGAAAGCCCGUGGCUCAACCGCGGAACAGAUUUGGAAACUGUUAAGA
This 288-nucleotide ribosomal RNA is filed under the name uncultured bacterium. Its description in RNAcentral is "partial 16S ribosomal RNA". It matches the Rfam family "Bacterial small subunit ribosomal RNA", at positions 335 to 641 of the family's 1533-position model. The record is from RNAcentral.